This 253-nucleotide ribosomal RNA is filed under the name uncultured bacterium. RNAcentral describes it as "partial 16S ribosomal RNA". It matches the Rfam family "Bacterial small subunit ribosomal RNA", at positions 524 to 776 of the family's 1533-position model. The record is from RNAcentral.
UACGUAGGGGGCAAGCGUUGUCCGGAUUCAUUGGGCGUAAAGAGCGUGUAGGCGGCCAGAUAGGUCCGUUGUGAAACCUGGAGGCUUAACCUCCAGCUGUCGAUGGAAACCAUCUGGCUAGAGUCCGGAAGAGGAGAGUGGAAUUCCUGGUGUAGCGGUGAAAUGCGCAGAUAUCAGGAAGAACACCCGUGGCGAAGGCGGCUCUCUGGGACGGUACUGACGCUGAGACGCGAAAGCGUGGGGAGCGAACAGG